GGAUUGCAGUCUGCAACUCGACUGCACGAAGCUGGAAUCGCUAGUAAUCGCGAAUCAGAAUGUCGCGGUGAAUACGUUCCCGGGCCUUGUACACACCGCCCGUCACACCAUGGGAGUUGGAAGCACCCGAAGUCGGUGACCUGACCGAAGGGGAGGAGCCGCCGAAGGUGAAGCCAGCGACUGGGGUGAAGUCGUAACAAGGUAUC
This 206-nucleotide ribosomal RNA is filed under the name uncultured bacterium. RNAcentral's name for it is "partial 16S ribosomal RNA". It matches the Rfam family "Bacterial small subunit ribosomal RNA", at positions 1295 to 1500 of the family's 1533-position model. The record is from RNAcentral.